This 25-nucleotide transfer RNA is filed under the name Pristimantis sternothylax. Its description in RNAcentral is "partial tRNA-Met". Lineage: Eukaryota; Metazoa; Chordata; Amphibia; Anura; Strabomantidae. The record is from RNAcentral.
AGUAAAGUCAGCUAAAUUAAGCUUU